AUACGGAGGGUGCAAGCGUUAUCCGGAAUCAUUGGGUUUAAAGGGUCCGUAGGCGGGCGAUUAAGUCAGAGGUGAAAUCCCACAGCUCAACUGUGGAACUGCCUUUGAUACUGGUUGUCUUGAGUUACAGUGAAGUAGAUAGAAUGUGUAGUGUAGCGGUGAAAUGCAUAGAUAUUACACAGAAUACCGAUUGCGAAGGCAGUCUACUAACUGUAUACUGACGCUAAUGGACGAAAGCGUGGGGAGCGAACAGGAUUAGAAACCCGGGUAGUCC
RNAcentral lists this ribosomal RNA (274 nucleotides) under uncultured bacterium. RNAcentral's name for it is "partial 16S ribosomal RNA". It matches the Rfam family "Bacterial small subunit ribosomal RNA", at positions 523 to 796 of the family's 1533-position model. The record is from RNAcentral.